Molecule: long non-coding RNA, 546 nt
Filed under: Gallus gallus (chicken)
Lineage: Eukaryota; Metazoa; Chordata; Aves; Galliformes; Phasianidae
Source: RNAcentral
AACAGGAAUCCAGCACCAAUCUGGAUGACACAGAGUGAGUUAGUCUGCGGCUGUGAAGCCAGCUCCAGCUAUUGCUGAGACGUUAAGGAGGUGGUUCUUCACCAUGAUAUGCAUCAGUUUCUCUUUCUACAACAAGGUUCAAUCUGACUCCUUGCCACUGCCAUUUUGAGUGUAAAAGCACUUCUUGUGAGAACAUAAAUUGGAUCCCCACAGCUACAGGAAAGACACGAGAACCCACUGUGACUGUACAGCCCUGCUCUGCCAUUUUCAUCUCCUACCAAUGUGUCUCCUGAAAAGUACUGCUGCUGCGGGGAGGACAACUGUGGUUCAGACAGAAACAGGAGGAAGACAAAAGGGUGAGGUUUGACAUGAAGAAAUAUUCUCCGGAAGGGGGGAUCCCAGGGAUGUCUGCAUGCAAAAAGAUACAAGCCACUGUCUGCAUGAGAACAAGGAAGAUAAUGAGUGGAGUAAGACAAGGAUCAAAGGCAAAGAUAGACCAGACUGCUUGUUUGCCACCCCAGCACCUAGAUGAGCACUGAGGGAGGU